This is a long non-coding RNA of Mauremys reevesii (Reeves's turtle), 804 nucleotides long. RefSeq lists it as uncharacterized. The record is from RefSeq and is a predicted model, not a curated record. NCBI's taxonomy places the organism in Eukaryota, Metazoa, Chordata, Testudines, Geoemydidae. The transcript has 2 exons.
CGCAUGCGCUUUACUGGCGACGCCAUCGUCCCGCUCUAGCAACAGUCACUAAGCGACGCACGCUCGUCGCCCUUGGGCGCCAGCCCCGUCAGACGCCUGCCGCAGGGCGGGCAGGACGGGAGGCGCCGCGUGGCGCCGACUCAGGGUUCCUGGAGGAGCGAGGGCCGAGUCGGGGCUGCUACAGGGGAGCGCAGCAUCUCGCUGAGCCCGGCGGGGUGGGGCGGCUGCGGGCUCACCGCUACCGCCCCUAGAGCUGCCCCAGCAGGGGGGUUUGCCUGAAGCACAGCCUGGCAGGCUAGGCCGGAUCCCGUCCGACCGCACCGGCCAGGCAGCAAGGAGCUGGGCCCGCUCCCCUGAGUGAGAGGCAGGGACACCAACCUUUGGGCAGAUGGGAGCUCGAGCCUGACUGAGAGACAGGCACCUUAAACUCUUCCCCGACAUCCACCAACACUCGCUGCAGCUCACCCAGAAGCGCUAACAGGUUGCGGCCAUAGGCGGCAGAACUUUGGAGGAAGAUGGUGAUUUGGAAGGUAGAAGAGUCUUUUUUUUUUUUAAUCCAGUCACUUCAUUGUGCACCUUUGGUCCCACAAACUGGUUUGUAGAACAGAACUUCAUGGUUAAUAUUCCAGCUCUCAAGUGGAAUCAUUGUCAGGAAAAUUUGGAUAGAUUAUAUAGUAUAUGCCUUAGACUCAGACCUAUUACGUCCAUGCUUCACAUUCUGGAUAUGACUUCCCACCAGUGGAGUAGUGGAAUGUGCAAUUGAUUUAACAAAACAGUUUAUUAGACCCAUAAAAUUCAAAAUGA